This 563-nucleotide ribosomal RNA is filed under the name Piloderma sp. YM1511. RNAcentral's name for it is "eukaryotic LSU rRNA". The stretch from base 173 to 327 matches the Rfam family "5.8S ribosomal RNA". The record is from RNAcentral. Lineage: Eukaryota; Fungi; Basidiomycota; Agaricomycetes; Atheliales; Atheliaceae.
UGUAGCUGGCCUCCCGGGGCACGUGCACGCCCGAGCCCUUAAUCCACACACACCUGUGAACCUAUUGUAAGGGCCCGUGAAAAGGCCUUUACGUUUUAUCAUCAACCCACUGUAUGUCUCAUAGAAUGUAAAUCUAUAUCCUCGCCCUAAAAAGCGUUGAUAAAACUUAUACAACUUUCAACAACGGAUCUCUUGGCUCUCGCAUCGAUGAAGAACGCAGCGAAAUGCGAUAAGUAAUGUGAAUUGCAGAUUUUCAGUGAAUCAUCGAAUCUUUGAACGCACCUUGCGCUCCUUGGUAUUCCGAGGAGCAUGCCUGUUUGAGUGUCAUUAAAUUCUCAACUCCGAUCGAUUUGUUUCGACUUCGGAGCUUGGACAUGGAGCGUGCCGGCGUCGGUCGGCUCCUCUUAAAUGCAUCAGCGGAAUCUAACGUUUUGGAUGUCAGUGUGAUAAUCAUGUUGCGCUGUCCUCCGAUCCGAAAAGCCCGCUCACAAUGGUCUUCGGACGACUUCAUAUCAAAUUUGACCUCAAAUCAGGUAGGACUACCCGCUGAACUUAAGCAUAUC